UAAAAAGCAUGGUAAUUCUGUUAUCUGAGACUGAGAAGGUAGAAAGAGGAGAAGGCUUGAGUGUGGGGAAAUUAUCCUGAGUUAAGUAUAGGAAGGCUGUGUUUGAGGUACCAAAGAAAUAUUCAUAGGGAGAGGCUCACCAGAUGUAACUUAUGGGUCUGCAGUUUAAGAGAAAGAUCAGGACUAAAGUCACAAAUUUGGGAGCUACAGGCAUGAAACUAACAGUUGAAAUGGCCAAAGUUGGGAUGGAAUAUAGAGCUAUAGGAGGUGAUUGCUGAGGACAAAGCCCCAGGAGGAAGGAAAGGAGACAAAGAAUAAAGAGACAAGGAGGUAGUUGGAUAACCAGGAGAGCAAAAUAUCCUGGAAGGUAUGGGCUUAAACAUGAAAGGGAUGGUUAGCUGUUGUAACUGAUGAGAGAAUGACAGGUAGAGACGCAGAGAAGGGCUACUGGCAAGUCUCCAGUGACCUUUGGGAGAUAAGUUUGGGAGAACUAGGGUAUACUCAGAUGGAAAAGGAUAGAAAAGUCAGUGGAAGGUGAGAAGUGGAUGCAGAAUGAAUGGAUUAAUGAUUGGAGAAACCGAGGUGAGAGAGUUAAGGGAGAGAUGAAGUAGGAUCUUGAUGGGGAAGUAGGGCCAGAGGAAGUUGAUUUUUGUGUCCAAGAGAUUUGAGUAAAGUAAUAGAUGAGAUUAAAGAGGAGUGGGGAGGAAAAGUGUUGAGAUAGAGAGGGAGAAAGGAAGGUGCAGAGGGAGGUUGGGUGUAAGAAGUAAGAUUCUAGUAAGGUUGAGAAGGGAUUGAUUGAAGGACUAAAAACACAGAGGUGGAAAGGAGGCAAAUCAAUGUCUUCUCCUUACAAAGAAGAGUGAAGAGAUGGGGAGAGGCUGUGGAUGAGAGACUAGGAGCAGAGGUUGAGAACGGUCACCUACUUAGGAGUAGGUGCAAGAAUGUACAAACUUUCAGUCCUCCUGCCCUCACUCUUGACUUUGUAAUGGUGUACUCCUCCAUGUGACUAUAGCAGUCACUCCUUCUCAGGCCACACCCAUGGCCUCAGGUCCCAUCUGCAGCCUCCUGGUCCCAGGGUAGAGUCUGG
RNAcentral lists this long non-coding RNA (1087 nucleotides) under Macaca fascicularis (crab-eating macaque). RNAcentral's name for it is "lncRNA (ENSMFAG00000056742.1)". Lineage: Eukaryota; Metazoa; Chordata; Mammalia; Primates; Cercopithecidae. The record is from RNAcentral.